UACGGAGGAUUCAAGCGUUAUCCGGAAUCAUUGGGUUUAAAGGGUCCGUAGGCGGGCUUAUAAGUCAGUGGUGAAAGUCUGCAGCUUAAUUGUAGAACUGCCAUUGAUACUGUAGGUCUUGAGUCAUUAUGAAGUGGUUAGAAUGAGUAGUGUAGCGGUGAAACGCAUAGAUAUUACUCAGAGUACCGAUUGCGAAGGCAGAUCACUAAUAAUUCACUGACGCUGAUGGACGAAAGCGUAGGUAGCGAACAGG
RNAcentral lists this unclassified non-coding RNA (253 nucleotides) under uncultured Flavobacteriaceae bacterium. RNAcentral describes it as "contains 16S-23S intergenic spacer region". It matches the Rfam family "Bacterial small subunit ribosomal RNA", at positions 524 to 776 of the family's 1533-position model. The record is from RNAcentral. Lineage: Bacteria; Pseudomonadati; Bacteroidota; Flavobacteriia; Flavobacteriales; Flavobacteriaceae.